AGACGUCUACAUUAGAUACCCCGGUAGUCCCAGCCGUAAACUAUGCGCGUUAGGUGUAUCGGUGACCACGAGUUACCGAGGUGCCGAAGGGAAACCGUGAAACGUGCCGCCUGGGAAGUACGGUCGCAAGGCUGAAACUUAAAGGAAUUGGCGGGGGAGUACCACAACGGGUGGAGCCUGCGGUUUAAUUGGACUCAACGCCGGACAACUCACCGGGGACGACAGCAAUAUGUAGGCCAGGCUGAAGACCUUGCCUGAAUCGCUG
Molecule: ribosomal RNA, 265 nt
Filed under: uncultured archaeon
Lineage: Archaea
Description: partial 16S ribosomal RNA
Rfam family: Archaeal small subunit ribosomal RNA
Source: RNAcentral